RNAcentral lists this ribosomal RNA (857 nucleotides) under uncultured Flavobacteriia bacterium. Its description in RNAcentral is "bacterial SSU rRNA". It matches the Rfam family "Bacterial small subunit ribosomal RNA", at positions 58 to 910 of the family's 1533-position model. The record is from RNAcentral. Lineage: Bacteria; Pseudomonadati; Bacteroidota; Flavobacteriia.
CAAGUCGAGGGGCAGCAUGUCCCGUAGCAAUACGGGAUGAUGGCGACCGGCAAACGGGUGCGGAACACGUACAGAACCUUCCUUCGAGCGGGGAAUAGCCCGGAGAAAUCCGGAUUAAUACCCCAUAGUAUGGUGAAGAGGCAUCUCUUUACUAUUAAAGAUUUAUCACUUGAAGAUGGCUGUGCGGCUGAUUAGGUAGUUGGCGGGGUAACGGCCCACCAAGCCUGCGAUCAGUAACUGGUGUGAGAGCACGACCAGUCACACGGGCACUGAGACACGGGCCCGACUCCUACGGGAGGCAGCAGUAAGGAAUAUUGGUCAAUGGACGAAAGUCUGAACCAGCCAUGCCGCGUGGAGGAUGAAGGUCCUCUGGAUUGUAAACUUCUUUUAUAUGGGACGAAAAAAGGCCUUUCCAGGUCGUCUGACGGUACCAUAUGAAUAAGCACCGGCUAACUCCGUGCCAGCAGCCGCGGUAAUACGGAGGGUGCAAGCGUUAUCCGGAUUCACUGGGUUUAAAGGGUGCGUAGGUGGGUUGGUAAGUCAGUGGUGAAAUCCCCGAGCUUAACUUGGGAACUGCCAUUGAUACUAUUAAUCUUGAAUACCGUGGAGGUCAGCGGAAUAUGUCAUGUAGCGGUGAAAUGCUUAGAUAUGACAUAGAACACCAAUUGCGAAGGCAGCUGGCUACGCGAAUAUUGACACUGAUGCACGAAAGCGUGGGGAUCAAACAGGAUUAGAUACCCUGGUAGUCCACGCCCUAAACUAUGGAUACUCGACAUCAGCGAUACACUGUUGGUGUCUGAGCGAAGCAUUAAGUAUCCACCUGGGAAGUACGAUCGCAGAUUGAAACUCAAAGGAUU